Molecule: microRNA precursor, 102 nt
Filed under: Marmota monax (woodchuck)
Lineage: Eukaryota; Metazoa; Chordata; Mammalia; Rodentia; Sciuridae
Source: RNAcentral
AAUAGAAUAACUGGGUCAAAUGGUGGUUCCAUUCCAGGUUUUCUGAGGAAUAUCCAUACUGCUUUCGAAAAUGGUUGCACUGUUUGCAGUCCCACCAGCAAU